This 163-nucleotide ribosomal RNA is filed under the name Klebsiella pneumoniae. RNAcentral's name for it is "partial 23S ribosomal RNA". It matches the Rfam family "Bacterial large subunit ribosomal RNA", at positions 2768 to 2925 of the family's 2925-position model. RNAcentral also lists the same sequence under 6 other names. Lineage: Bacteria; Pseudomonadati; Pseudomonadota; Gammaproteobacteria; Enterobacterales; Enterobacteriaceae. The record is from RNAcentral.
GUGCUGAAAGCAUCUAAGCACGAAACUUGCCCCGAGAUGAGUUCUCCCUGAGACUUUAAGUCUCCUGAAGGAACGUUGAAGACGACGACGUUGAUAGGUCGGGUGUGUAAGCGCAGCGAUGCGUUGAGCUAACCGAUACUAAUGAACCGUGAGGCUUAACCUU